This is a long non-coding RNA of Betta splendens (Siamese fighting fish), 996 nucleotides long. RefSeq lists it as uncharacterized. The record is from RefSeq and is a predicted model, not a curated record. The transcript is spliced from 3 exons. Lineage: Eukaryota; Metazoa; Chordata; Actinopteri; Anabantiformes; Osphronemidae.
CUAAAAGCUAGCCGCAGCGGCUGCAAGUGGCAGAAGCGGCCAACAACUUCCGCUCGGUGCCGACCUCCGAAACGCGCCGUGAUUGGUGGACGCGGACACGCGCUGUAGCAGGACAGCAUUCUUGAUGGUUCCAAUUUCCAACCCAUUCCCCAAUUUUCAACUCCAAUGACAGGCAACACAUGCAGGAAUGGCUGUUUAGCUACAGAAGGGAGCUGGAGGAACCGACCCCCUGAUCUCCGUCUGAUCCUCCUGCGUGACGCAGCGUCUUCCUCCCUGCGCUCGGCGGAGACGUAACCCCCCGUGGCCUUUGACAUAUGAUUGGAGUGACAGUCAUCCGGGCCUCGGAGAGCCCCUCCGCCGGUGACGGCCAUUAUGCGGAGCGCCAAGAGAUGGCAGUAUUUCACAGAACAUGUGGCGGCAGGCGGGUGGAUUAGCAGGAGCCGCUGCAGCACCGCUGGUGUACUGUGUGAAGCAGAGAAGAGAGGGCGAGAGAGAGAGAGAGAGAGAGAGAGAGAGAGAGAGAGAGAGAAAGAGAGAGUCUUAUGAGGACUUGUAAAGGAAUAUCUAAGGAGAAUAUUAUCAUCCCAUUGCUUGCCUCAUCUCUAUAUGUCUCCUUUUAAUAUUUACAUCUUCCAGCUGGAUGGAGCGGCGCUACUGGCCCUCGGUUCCAGUGUGUGUUUAAAAGAUUAAAAAAAAAGGAAAGAGUUGUGAAUGUUGAUGAAGUAAUAUAGUGAAUCUGAGUCAAUUUAUUUGCUAAACAGAUGGAGCCGUUUCCUGUGUGUUGGCUUCACUGAGACAGAUUAUGACUCAAUCUUUUAUCACACACGGCAGUCAUCAACUAUUACAAUUAAACGCUUUAUUUAGUCAUAGGAAAUAACACACAUGCUGUUAGCGAGAUGUUAGUCAGAUAUUUGUAUAAAAUAGGCUUUUUUCAAUGCGAUCUGAUAUCGGUUUCAUGCUUCCUGCUCAUGAGUGCGUCCCGUCCGGCCUGGUGAG